RNAcentral lists this unclassified non-coding RNA (332 nucleotides) under soil metagenome. RNAcentral's name for it is "partial contains 5.8S ribosomal RNA, internal transcribed spacer 2, and large subunit ribosomal RNA". The stretch from base 1 to 120 matches the Rfam family "5.8S ribosomal RNA", at positions 35 to 154 of the family's 154-position model. The record is from RNAcentral.
GAUGAAGAACGCAGCAAAAUGCGAUAAGUAAUGUGAAUUGCAGAAUUCAGUGAAUCAUCGAAUCUUUGAACGCACAUUGCGACCGCCAGUAUUCUGGCGGGCAUGCCUGUUCGAGCGUCAUUUCAACCCUCAAGCACAGCUUGGUGUUGGGACUCGCGUUAAUUCGCGUUCCUCAAAUUGAUUGGCGGUCACGUCGAGCUUCCAUAGCGUAGUAGUAAAACCCUCGUUACUGGUAAUCGUCGCGGCCACGCCGUUAAACCCCAACUUCUGAAUGUUGACCUCGGAUCAGGUAGGAAUACCCGCUGAACUUAAGCAUAUCAAUAAGCGGAGGA